RNAcentral lists this ribosomal RNA (253 nucleotides) under uncultured bacterium. RNAcentral describes it as "partial 16S ribosomal RNA". It matches the Rfam family "Bacterial small subunit ribosomal RNA", at positions 524 to 776 of the family's 1533-position model. The record is from RNAcentral.
UACAGAGGGUGCAAGCGUUGUUCGGAAUUACUGGGCGUAAAGGGCUCGUAGGUGGCCAACUAAGUCAGACGUGAAAUCCCUCGGCUUAACCGGGGAACUGCGUCUGAUACUGGAUGGCUAGAGUUUGGGAGAGGGAUGCGGAAUUCCAGGUGUAGCGGUGAAAUGCGUAGAUAUCUGGAGGAACACCGGUGGCGAAGGCGGCAUCCUGGACCAACACUGACGCUGAGGAGCGAAAGCCAGGGGAGCAAACGGG